AGGCUUAACACAUGCAAGUCGAGCGGAAACGAGAAUAGCUUGCUAUUCGGCGUCGAGCGGCGGACGGGUGAGUAAUGCUUGGGAAUAUGCCUUUGAGUGGGGGACAACAGUUGGAAACGACUGCUAAUACCGCAUAACGUCUACGGACCAAAGGGGGGGAUGCUUCGGCACCUCUCGCUCAUAGAUUAGCCCAAGUGAGAUUAGCUAGUUGGUACGGUAAUGGCGUACCAAGGCGACGAUCUCUAGCUGGUUUGAGAGGAUGAUCAGCCACACUGGGACUGAGACACGGCCCAGACUCCUACGGGAGGCAGCAGUGGGGAAUAUUGCACAAUGGGGGAAACCCUGAUGCAGCCAUGCCGCGUGUGUGAAGAAGGCCUUCGGGUUGUAAAGCACUUUCAGUUGUGAGGAAAGGUGUAAGUUUAAUAAACUUGCACUGUGACGUUAGCAACAGAAGAAGCACCGGCUAACUCCGUGCCAGCAGCCGCGGUAAUACGGAGGGUGCGAGCGUUAAUCGGAAUUACUGGGCGUAAAGCGUGCGUAGGCGGUUAAUUAAGUCAGAUGUGAAAUCCCGGAGCUCAACUUCGGAACUGCAUUUGAAACUGGUUAACUAGAAUACUGUAGAGGGUGGUGGAAUUUCCAGUGUAGCGGUGAAAUGCGUAGAGAUUGGAAGGAACAUCAGUGGCGAAGGUGGCCACCUGGACAGAUAUUGACGCUGAGGCACGAAAGCGUGGGGAGCGAACAGGAUUAGAUACCCUGGUAGUCCACGCCGUAAACGAUGUCAACUAGCCGUUUGUGGGUUUAACCCGUGAGUGGCGUAGCUAACGCGCUAAGUUGACCGCCUGGGGAGUACGGCCGCAAGGUUAAAACUCAAAUGAAUUGACGGGGGCCCGC
Molecule: ribosomal RNA, 891 nt
Filed under: uncultured bacterium
Lineage: Bacteria
Description: bacterial SSU rRNA
Rfam family: Bacterial small subunit ribosomal RNA
Source: RNAcentral